AACGAACGCUGGCGGCGUGCCUAACACAUGCAAGUCGAACGGAAUGAGGGGCUUGCUCCUCAUUUGGUGGCGCACGGGUGAGUAACGCGUAGAUAAUCUGCCUGAUGAUCUGGGAUAACACUUCGAAAGAGGUGCUAAUACCUGAUAAGCCCACGAUGACCUUGGUUAUUGCGGGAAAAGGGGGGGACCUUUUGGCCUUCUGUCAUCAGAUGAGUCUGCGUACCAUUAGCUAGUUGGUAGGGUAAAGGCCUACCAAGGCGACGAUGGUUAGCUGGUCUGAGAGGAUGAUCAGCCACACUGGAACUGAGACACGGUCCAGACUCCUACGGGAGGCAGCAGUGGGGAAUUUUGCGCAAUGGGCGAGAGCCUGACGCAGCAACGCCGCGUGAGUGAUGAAGGCUUUCGGGUCGUAAAGCUCUGUCAAUGGGAAAGAAGUGUAUUGUGGCUAAUAUCCAUGAUACUUGACGGUACCCAUAAAGGAAGCACCGGCUAACUCCGUGCCAGCCGCCGCCGUAA
Molecule: ribosomal RNA, 516 nt
Filed under: uncultured bacterium
Lineage: Bacteria
Description: partial 16S ribosomal RNA
Rfam family: Bacterial small subunit ribosomal RNA
Source: RNAcentral